GGAGAAUUUUGGCAGAAAGUUUGAAAGCUACACAAAUUAUUCCCGCACACACACUUAGUGCUGCGUACUAAGGCCUUAUGCUAAUUCUAGGUCGCACCUUAUGAUUUAAUUAACAGCAGCAAUGACAUGGGCAGUCCACGUGCUGUAGAAAGCAGAGGAAGAUCCUGUCAGCUUUGUGAAGCUAAGAUGUUAACAGGUCAGGAUGCUGCCAAAAUGUUGGAUUUCUGCAUCACAAUGGGGACAUUGGUAAGAUGACCCUCAUCCGGCUUUGUGCAGCUCAAAAAGAGGCGGCAGGAGAUGGAGAGAGGAAAGGAAUGAAAGAGAGAAGAGGAAGUCAUGCAGGCGAGCGUUCUUGCUCCCGUUGAAGUGGAUCAGAUGUCUCACCGCCAACCUGACUGCAGGGGACACGAUGCUGGACCAAGAUCCAGCACCCAUCCCCCCUCUCCCUGCAUCUACUCCCCACCUGGCUGUCAUUGAGGUUUCCAUCUAAGGGUGGUGGGGGCUUCAAAUGCAGAGGCAGACAAUCAGACGCAGGUGUCUCCUCUAGUGACCCGGAUGUACUUAUCCCCCGAUGCCUGGUGACCCUGACAGGAAGUGAUUCGCUGGCCAAGUGACCUCCCCUGGUGGCCCUUCCUGUCCCCGUGUUGCCUCUCAGGAAGGAAGGAUGCGGUUUGUUGUCCUCAGGCGCCUCGCUCUCACUCUCCUGUCCUCAGCCUGACGAGAGAAACUAGAUUAUUGAUUCCAGGCUCGUCUCUCCUCGUCCUGUCCUUUUUUUAUUCUUCUUUUUCUGUCUGCUCCAUUCUUCAUCUCUUUCUCUCUUGUCUCAGCACCCACUUUAUUUUCUUUUGACAUCAUCCCUUUCUUCUUUUGUUAUAUUUUCCCUGUCCGUACGAGAUGUGAGUAAACACUGCGGACACAGGCAAACCGCAUCGUCCCCGAUCCCAUUCAAUUACACUCAGGGGGCUAACAAGUUUUUUGAUUUAUAGGCUCCAUUUAUUUUAUUUCUGACACUGAUUUAUUUAUUUGUUUUACUGUUAUUUUAUUGCCCAUACAUUCACAUUAAAUAUGGCAGUCAAUUCAUGUGGUGGAGAAUUUCCAAGGUCAGGCUUCUGGGUUUAGUCUGCUCUAAAAUGAAGUGCAUGCACACUGCAGAUUAAAGACACCAUUUGGUCGUAUUUAGGACGGGAAGGGGACUUCCAGGCAGAGACAGACACAGAGACCUCACUAACAACAUCAAACGCUGUUUUUGUUGUUCUUGGCUGUAGAUUAAGAACAGGAACUUAAACCAACAAGGUGAAAAGGUCAUGAAAAAUCAUUGCCAUUGUUUGUUAAUUGUGUAUCUGUCAAGCAACAAUGUCCAGGCCAGGAAAAACCUUAUCUCCUGAAGACUUUCACUACUUUCUAUGUUUAUAAUGUCAGCGUAGAGCGUAAUUUAUAAUAAUUCGUUUGGUGUAAAGAUGGUGAUAAUACAGUUUUUAUGUCUUAUUAUAGUAGAAUAUUUCUCUUUGUCACUUGUUAAUUAACAUUUUGUAAUUUCUGUCAUCAGCUGUAAUUGUUGUAUUGUGUUUGGUAAUGUGCCUUCAGUUUGUGAUUUUAAUUAUUAAAUGCAUUAACAUAAAAAAUAAUAAAGUUAAACCUUUUAUGAGCCUAAUUGUGUCUUUUUGUAGUUUUAAUAUUGUGAAAAAAAAAGUAGAAACAGAAAAAGCUAA
This 1709-nucleotide long non-coding RNA is filed under the name Oreochromis niloticus (Nile tilapia). RNAcentral's name for it is "lncRNA (ENSONIG00000022718.2)". The record is from RNAcentral. Lineage: Eukaryota; Metazoa; Chordata; Actinopteri; Cichliformes; Cichlidae.